Molecule: ribosomal RNA, 439 nt
Filed under: uncultured Sporanaerobacter sp.
Lineage: Bacteria; Bacillati; Bacillota; Tissierellia; Tissierellales; Sporanaerobacteraceae
Description: bacterial SSU rRNA
Rfam family: Bacterial small subunit ribosomal RNA
Source: RNAcentral
CCUACGGGGGGCUGCAGUGGGGAAUAUUGCACAAUGGAGGGAACUCUGAUGCAGCGACGCCGCGUGAGCGAUGAAGGUCUUCGGAUCGUAAAGCUCUGUCCUAAGGGACGAUAAUGACGGUACCUUAGGAGGAAGCCCCGGCUAACUACGUGCCAGCAGCCGCGGUAAUACGUAGGGGGCAAGCGUUGUCCGGAAUUACUGGGCGUAAAGGGUACGCAGGCGGCUUUGUAAGUCAGAUGUGAAAGACUAUGGCUUAACUGUGGUAAGCAUUUGAAACUACAGAGCUUGAGUACAGGAUGGGAGAGUGGAAUUCCUAGUGUAGCGGUGAAAUGCGUAGAUAUUAGGAGGAAUACCAGUGGCGAAGGCGACUCUCUGGACUGUAACUGACGCUGAGGUACGAAAGCAUGGGGAGCAAACAGGAUUAGAUACCCUUGUAGUC